AAGGAGGUGGGGGGGCACUAUGUGUUGAAAUGCACAAUGCUAAUAAGUCACCAAGCAAUAAAAGGAGAAGUAAGAGAGAAAGACAAAAGGAUAAAGGCCAGAGAGAGAGAGAGAGAGAGGGAGAGAGGGAGAGAGAGGGUGAAGAGAACUGAAAGGCAGUAGCAAAAGUUAAAGCAGGGUCUUAAUGGACGGAUACAGUCUGAACAUGAAAUGGACUUGUAAUUUCUUGUAGUUUCUCUUAUGUAUGAUUCAUUAUUUCUAACAUUUAUUAUGCUCUACCUGGGGAACAGAUAAAAUGGCAAAUAUUGUGCACCUGCCUCUCAUUUGGAUUCUCUGUGUUUGUACAAGCUGCUUCAGUGGUGAGAUGUUUUAUCUGCCUUGCUCAGUAAUGGAUGAUAUUUUUGCUAAUUGUUUCCAUUCAUUGAACAUUACAUUACGUGACUUGUGUUCUCUAUUUGUGGAUGCAUCUAAUAUCAGCACAAUGUUUUUGUAAUAUUUCAUGCUUUCCACUAGAAUAUUUUUGCCCAAAGGGGGCAAAAAUUGACCGUGAUGGUUUACGCUGCUACUGGAUGCCCACAUUUAAGUCAACAUGGAUAGAAGCAAAAAGGAUCUGUCAGAGAGACGAGAGAGGAGACCUUGCUAUGGUGGACAGUGUGAUUGUACAGACCUUCAUUCAAAAUUCAUUCCAACUGUAAGAGAUCACAAGAUUUUCUAGGGUUUUGUGGGUGAGAUCACCUUUUUUUUCCCAACAUAAAAAUUUAAAAGUGUAAAUUUAAUGUUUAAACACAGAGCAUUGCAACUUCUGUAAUGGUUGAUCCUGUAUUUAUAUUUUACUUUUUGUAAAUUCCAGAGAAGCUCCAGUUGGGGUUUGGUUGAGAAAUGGAAUGGUACAGGGUCCAUUCUAUGAUUUAGAUACUAAAGACAGUGAGAUGAAGGAAUGUACUUCAAUGGCUUUGGCCUCUGGACAGUGGAAGAAUGAACAAUGUAAUAAAGAAAAUUUCAUUAUCUGUGAGAAAAAGAUAUCAGUGUCUUUGCCAUCGCUGGAGAGCUAUGUGACAGGUGUCCCACUAAUGUCAGGCAUAUACACAGUGUCCCGGAUACAACUGCUACCCUCUCCACCAGACGCAGGACAACAAAUGGUUGAGGUAAAAAUAACCAGGAGUUUACCCCAUAGCGUAAAACUCAAUGGGAGAGACUGUUUGAAAGGGAACGAAUCAUUUCAGACAAAGGGGUAUGAAGAAUAUGCAGAAUAUGCUCAUUGUUAAUUUUUCUGCAUAUGUGUUUAUUGAAAAUGUACAAAAAUGCAGGUUAAGUCAUGUGAUUGAGUAACAAUGUUUGUUGAUAAGUCAUGUUUAAAACACAGUUUAGUAAGUUUUUUAAAGCCAUUUGGUUUGUGCACAGAUUAUGUUGUUCCCAGGUCUUUGGUUCAGUCAUGAGGGUCGAGUCCUGUCUUUGGAUUUGGUGAUGCAGCCAAGUGAUCAGCUGACCUUUGCUAGAGUGCAAAUCUUACGGCCGUACUGCAGUCCAAGUCAUCACCUAGUACCACCUGGUGAGCAAAUUAAACACUAAUGAGAAAUACAUUUUUAACAGUUUAUCAAAUGAUCAGGUCAAGAUGUACAAUUUAUAAAACAUCUUCUCUCUCAGGCUGUAGUUCUCUCCUGAACCCUUUCAGCUGCUGUUCACUGAUGCCCAUGUGCAACACCACCGGUGGCUGUGCCAGUGGGCAGUACUGGUGUCACCUGCUGGAGAUCUGUCUGCCCGUCACCAGUCCGUGCAGCCCUUACCACUCCUUUAAUGGGGGACAUGUUUUACCUCUGCCUCCCCGCUACCCUGCGACGCCACCGUUCUUCCAUAUGAUGGCAGACAUGUCACUGACACUGACCCCAAGCACUGAACACACACACAUUAGUGUAGGUGGCAACACUUGACUUGUUGGCUCUUUUCGAAAACCUAAUAAGCAUAAGUAAAAAAGCAAAAAAGUUGUGAAUGAAUUAUUUCUCUUAAUUAAUUAAGAACUAAUUUAUAAUAAUUAUUUUACAGUUUUAACCUGUUUAUUAUCU
Cyprinus carpio carpio is the source of this 2060-nucleotide long non-coding RNA. The record is from Ensembl. NCBI's taxonomy places the organism in Eukaryota, Metazoa, Chordata, Actinopteri, Cypriniformes, Cyprinidae.